This 253-nucleotide ribosomal RNA is filed under the name uncultured bacterium. Its description in RNAcentral is "partial 16S ribosomal RNA". It matches the Rfam family "Bacterial small subunit ribosomal RNA", at positions 524 to 776 of the family's 1533-position model. The record is from RNAcentral.
UACAGAGGUCUCGAGCGUUGUUCGGAUUCAUUGGGCGUAAAGGGCGCGUAGGCGGGGAGGUAAGUCGGGUGUGAAAUCCCUCGGCCCAACCGAGGAACUGCGCCCGAGACUGCUUCUCUUGAGUCCCGGAGAGGAAGGUGGAAUUCCCGGUGUAGCGGUGAAAUGUGUAGAGAUCGGGAGGAACACCGGUGGCGAAGGCGGCCUUCUGGACGGUGACUGACGCUGAGGCGCGAAAGCGUGGGGAGCAAACGGG